GUUCCUCAUUUUAUAAGUAAUGUUUAAGAGCAAUGACCCACUCCUACUUUCAGCAAAGAGGUGCACAUAGCAUAGACCCAUAGAAGAGGAAGGAUCUGAGAAGGAGUUUGAAAAAAGUGUAGGAGAGGCUGCGAGAAAACAAGGCAGGUGUCCUGGCUGAGGGCAGGAAGGAGACAUUGCGAUGGAAAUUGUGCCCCAUUUUCUUGGAGGAUUGGGAAGAGGACCUGUGGACUGGGCGGCCCACACAACUGCUGUAACCUCAGGCAGUUUUCAAGCAGAUUGACCUUCCUGCUGGAACACGGCACAUGAGGUGAAGUUCUCCUCUACCCAGGAGAAAAUGAACAGCUGGACAAUGCUCCUGGUCAGUAGGCCUGAAGGAUGCUGGGAUGCAGCCCUCAAGAUGGAACAGCCAGGAUGCCAAGUAUCCCUCUUGCCCAGAUCCUAAGGCACUUUUUCUACUGAUCCAUAUUGGCCUCAGGAGAUGUCUCAACACAGCACCCCAGCCAAUGGAGCUGCCACAUAAGAUGAACUCUUGAUCAUCUCUAAACUAGAGAGUUAAACUCAACA
This 567-nucleotide long non-coding RNA is filed under the name Homo sapiens (human). RNAcentral describes it as "non-protein coding lnc-TRIM43-7:4". Lineage: Eukaryota; Metazoa; Chordata; Mammalia; Primates; Hominidae. The record is from RNAcentral.